RNAcentral lists this ribosomal RNA (246 nucleotides) under uncultured bacterium. Its description in RNAcentral is "partial 16S ribosomal RNA". It matches the Rfam family "Bacterial small subunit ribosomal RNA", at positions 524 to 776 of the family's 1533-position model. The record is from RNAcentral.
UACGUAGGGGCUAGCGUUGUCCGGAAUCAUUGGCGUAAAGCGCGUGUAGGCGGUCCGGUAAGUCGCUGUGAAGUCGAGGCUCAACCUCGAAUGCCGGUGGAUACUGUCGGGCUUGAGUACGGGAGAGGCGAGUGGAAUUCCUGGUGUAGCGGUGAAAUGCGCAGAUAUCAGGAGGAACACCUAUGGCGAAGGCAGCUCGCUGGGACGUUACUGACGCUGAGACGCGAAGCGUGGGGAGCAAACAGG